UACGGGGGGGGCAAGCGUUGUUCGGAAUUACUGGGCGUAAAGGGCUCGUAGGUGGCCAACUAAGUCGGACGUGAAAUCCCUCGGCUUAACCGGGGAACUGCGUCCGAUACUGGUUGGCUUGAGUUUGGGAGAGGGAUGCGGAAUUCCAGGUGUAGCGGUGAAAUGCGUAGAUAUCUGGAGGAACACCGGUGGCGAAGGCGGCAUCCUGGACCAACACUGACGCUGAGGAGCGAAAGCCGGGGGAGCAAACGGG
Molecule: ribosomal RNA, 253 nt
Filed under: uncultured bacterium
Lineage: Bacteria
Description: partial 16S ribosomal RNA
Rfam family: Bacterial small subunit ribosomal RNA
Source: RNAcentral